AUUGGGGCAAUAGAAAAUGAAAUGAAUCAUUUUUUUUAUUAUAAGGAUCCAGUUUUGACUGAAAAAAGCAAAAGCUACCGCGGGGAUAACAGGGUAAUUUUUUCUGAGAGUUCAUAUUUAAGAAGAAGUUUGCU
RNAcentral lists this ribosomal RNA (134 nucleotides) under Corbicula fluminea. Its description in RNAcentral is "partial 16S ribosomal RNA". The record is from RNAcentral. Lineage: Eukaryota; Metazoa; Mollusca; Bivalvia; Venerida; Cyrenidae.